RNAcentral lists this transfer RNA (86 nucleotides) under Acinetobacter phage vB_AbaM_B09_Aci05. It matches the Rfam family "tRNA". From Rfam's summary of the family: Transfer RNA (tRNA) molecules are approximately 80 nucleotides in length. The record is from Rfam by way of RNAcentral. Lineage: Duplodnaviria; Heunggongvirae; Uroviricota; Caudoviricetes; Luriaviridae. RNAcentral also lists the same sequence under 2 other names.
GGAGGGUAGCGUCAAGGUGACAAAGUGGACUUGAAAUCCAUGCCAUUGGUUAGUAGCCGAUGAAGGUUCGAUUCCUUUACCCUCCU